AUUGAACGCUGGCGGCAGGCCUAACACAUGCAAGUCGAACGGUAACAGAAAGCAGCUUGCUGCUUUGCUGACGAGUGGCGGACGGGUGAGUAAUGUCUGGGAAACUGCCUGAUGGAGGGGGAUAACUACUGGAAACGGUAGCUAAUACCGCAUAACGUCGCAAGACCAAAGAGGGGGACCUUCAGGCCUCUUGCCAUCGGAUGUGCCCAGAUGGGAUUAGCUUGUUGGUGGGGUAACGGCUCACCAAGGCGACGAUCCCUAGCUGGUCUGAGAGGAUGACCAGCCACACUGGAACUGAGACACGGUCCAA
RNAcentral lists this ribosomal RNA (310 nucleotides) under uncultured bacterium. RNAcentral's name for it is "bacterial SSU rRNA". It matches the Rfam family "Bacterial small subunit ribosomal RNA", at positions 30 to 334 of the family's 1533-position model. The record is from RNAcentral.